RNAcentral lists this ribosomal RNA (403 nucleotides) under uncultured bacterium. Its description in RNAcentral is "partial 16S ribosomal RNA". It matches the Rfam family "Bacterial small subunit ribosomal RNA", at positions 28 to 526 of the family's 1533-position model. The record is from RNAcentral.
GACGAACGCUGGCGGCGUGCCUAAUACAUGCAAGUCGAACGCAGGGGGGACGGGUGAGUAACACGUGGGUGACCUCCCAGCAGAGGGGGUAACACUUGGAAACAAGUGCUAAACCGAUACGGGUGGAGGGAGCCGGUGUGGAUUAGCUAGUUGGUGGGGUAACGGCUCACCAAGGCCACGAUGCAUAGCCGGCCUGAGAGGGUGACCAGCCACACUGGGACUGAGACACGGCCCAGACUCCUACGGGAGGCAGCAGUAGGGAAUCUUCGGCAAUGGACGAAAGUCUGACCGAGCAACGCCGCGUGAGUGAAGAAGGCUUUCGGAUCGUAAAACUCUGUUGUCAGAGAAGCGGUAUCUACCCAGAAAGCCACGGCUAACUACGUGCCAGCAGCCGCGGUAAUUC